Molecule: long non-coding RNA, 511 nt
Filed under: Homo sapiens (human)
Lineage: Eukaryota; Metazoa; Chordata; Mammalia; Primates; Hominidae
Description: HSALNT0201210
Source: RNAcentral
AUCAGACCAUCAAUCCAGCUUUUCCUGCCAGCUGGGGAAACAACACUCGGUCACUAACAGCACCCAAUCACCUAGAGAGCGAGAGUGAGCCGAGGCAAACACGCCGGGUUCCAGACACCGUCCCAGCCCCCGAGACCCGGGUUUGCAAAGGGCUGCACACGUUCGCCGGAGGGUCGCUGCCGCCUCCGAGAAAGGACUUGAACCUGAGCCCGGUGAAGAAUCACUCACUCUGGAGGAAGCCAGACAUCAUGCUAUAAGGACCCUUUUGCAGCUGUGUAAGAGGCCAUGUGAAGGGCAGCCGAGGUCUUCUGUCAAUGCCAGCAUCAACUCAGCAUCAACUCGCCAGCCAUGCAUGAAGAGAAAGCGGGCUCAGAGAAAGGAGACAGAGGGACACAAAGAUGAGGGAGACCCCACGGCUCUGAAGGGUGGUGAGACGGCUCUGUUCCAGGCACUGUUCCUGUUGUCUGCAGGUCAGCUACUCUUCCUGCUCUCCAUUCUGUGGUGGUGUGAG